Molecule: ribosomal RNA, 357 nt
Filed under: uncultured Streptococcus sp.
Lineage: Bacteria; Bacillati; Bacillota; Bacilli; Lactobacillales; Streptococcaceae
Description: bacterial SSU rRNA
Rfam family: Bacterial small subunit ribosomal RNA
Source: RNAcentral
ACAGGGAGACAGGUGGUGGCAUGGUUGUCGUCAGCUCGUGUCGUGAGAUGUUGGGUUAAGUCCCGCAACGAGCGCAACCCCUACGUUAGUUGCUAACGCGUGAAGGCGAGCACUCUAGACGAACUGCCGUUGACAAAACGGAGGAAGGUGGGGAUGACGUCAAAUCAUCAUGCCCCUUAUGUUCUGGGCUACACACGUGCUACAAUGGUUGGUACAACGAGUUGCGAGUCGGUGACGGCGAGCUAAUCUCUUAAAGCCAAUCUCAGUUCGGAUUGUAGGCUGCAACUCGCCUACAUGAAGUCGGAAUCGCUAGUAAUCGCGGAUCAGCACGCCGCGGUGAAUACGUUCCCGGGCCUU